RNAcentral lists this ribosomal RNA (1527 nucleotides) under uncultured bacterium. Its description in RNAcentral is "bacterial SSU rRNA". It matches the Rfam family "Bacterial small subunit ribosomal RNA". The record is from RNAcentral.
GAGUUUGAUCCUGGCUCAGGAUGAACGCUAGCGACAGGCUUAACACNUGCAAGUCGAGGGGCAGCGGGGGAGUAGCAAUACUCCCGCCGGCGACCGGCGCACGGGUGAGUAACACAUAUGGAACCUGCCCGCAGCAGGGGGAUAAGCGGAAGAAAUUCCGUCUAAUACCGCGUAACAACGACCGGAGGCAUCUCUGGUUGUUUAAAGGAGGCAACUCCGGCUGCGGAUGGCCAUGCGGCGCAUUAGCUUGUUGGCGGGGUAACGGCCCACCAAGGCGACGAUGCGUAGGGGUUCUGAGAGGAAGGUCCCCCACACUGGUACUGAGACACGGACCAGACUCCUACGGGAGGCAGCAGUGAGGAAUAUUGGUCAAUGGCCGAGAGGCUGAACCAGCCAAGUCGCGUGAGGGAUGACGGUCCUAUGGAUUGUAAACCUCUUUUGUCGGGGAGCAAAGGACGCCACGUGUGGUGUUUUGCGAGUACCCGAAGAAAAAGCNAUCGGCUAAACUCCGUGCCCAGCAGNCCGCGGUAAUACGGAAGGAAUGCGAGCGUUAUCCGGAUUUUAUUGGGUUUAAAAGGGUGCGCAGGGCGGAAUGUCAAGUCAGCGGUAAAAAUUUCGGGGGCUCAACCCCCGUCGUGCCGUUGAAAACUGGCGUUCUUGAGUGAGCGAGAAGUAUGCGGAAUGCGUGGUGUAGCGGUGAAAUGCAUAGAUAUCACGCAGAACUCCGAUUGCGAAGGCAGCAUACCGGCGCUCAACUGACGCUCAUGCACGAAAGCGUGGGUAUCGAACAGGAUUAGAUACCCUGGUAGUCCACGCAGUAAACGAUGAAUACUAAUUGUCCGGACCGAUUGAGGUCUGGGUGAUACAGCGAAAGCGUUAAGUAUUUCCACCUGGGGGAGUUACGCCGGCAACGGUNNAAACUCAAAAGGAAUUGACGGGGGNCCCGCACAAGCGGAAGGAAACAUGUGGUUUUAAUUNCGAUGAUACGCNGAGGAACCUUNACCCGGGGNUCAAACNNACGGAUGAAUUNUUUUUNAAAGGAGGCAGCCCUUCGGGGCAUCCGUCGAGGUGCUGCAUGGUUGUCGUCAGCUCGUGCCGUGAGGUGUCGGCUUAAGUGCCAUAACGAGCGCAACCCCCAUCGCCAGUUACCAGCAAGUAAAGUUGGGGACUCUGGCGANACUGCCGGCGCAAGCUGUGAGGAAGGCGGGGAUGACGUCAAAUCAGCACGGCCCUUACGUCCGGGGCGACACACGUGUUACAAUGGCAGGUACAGAGAGAAGCAAUGCGGCGACGCAGAGCGGAACUUCAAAGCCUGUCUCAGUUCGGAUUGGAGUCUGCAACCCGACUCCAUGAAGCUGGAUUCGCUAGUAAUCGCGCAUCAGCCAUGGCGCGGUGAAUACGUUCCCGGGCCUUGUACACACCGCCCGUCAAGCCAUGGAAGCCGGGAGUGCCUGAAGUGUGCAACCGCAAGGAGCUNNCCUAAGGUAAAACCGGUGACUGGGGCUAAGUCGUAACAAGGUAGCCGUA